RNAcentral lists this unclassified non-coding RNA (23 nucleotides) under Mus musculus (house mouse). Its description in RNAcentral is "oocyte_clustered_small_RNA13011". Lineage: Eukaryota; Metazoa; Chordata; Mammalia; Rodentia; Muridae. The record is from RNAcentral.
UGGAUAUGUUACAGGAAGUUGUA